Molecule: long non-coding RNA, 513 nt
Organism: Acomys russatus (golden spiny mouse)
Lineage: Eukaryota; Metazoa; Chordata; Mammalia; Rodentia; Muridae
Exons: 3
Source: RefSeq, a predicted model, not a curated record
ACAGGUGGGCUCGGGCCCUCGAGGCCCUGGAAAUCUUGAAAGACAGGCAGUGGGGGCAGAGUUAGGUGGGUCGACUUUGAACUUGACAAUACCAGCAGACCCCUUAUUUUCCAGAUAAAGGGCUAUGGAGCCUGCCUGGGGAUGAGGCCUGGUCUAAUGGAAAGUGGACUUAGCUUCGCUGGGCCGACAGCUCUGGCCCCGGGUGAUGGCAGUGUUUCCCCUCUGGAGUCUUUCCCCUAGGUUCCGUGGUUCCCUCUUCUGUGAUCUCACUCCUCCCCUACUGUUCCCCCUAACUGAGGUUAAGGACUCAACUAAAACCUUGCCUCUGGGUCCCCUGAGCCUGGAGAAGUGUUGUUCACCCAUGGCGAGCAGAUGGCACCGGGAGGAAUGGAGCCCCCGCCAGUGUGUGUCGUAGCAGUGCAGGAGGGCAGACCUUGGAGGAGACAGCGGCCUAAGUUGAUGCCCUCUACACAGUGAAUUUCCAGAGGCCUCACUCAGAAGGCCCCGUGUGUU